ACUGCUGCCAGCUACAUUGCAGGUGUGGCUGCUGUUCACACAUAAGUCAAUAGGUGACACAGAGGAGAGAGGCUAUGUUUAUGCUCAAUGUUCUGACCUAAUAUUCUCUAAAAACAGCAAGCCUGAGACA
Molecule: small nucleolar RNA, 130 nt
Organism: Grammomys surdaster
Lineage: Eukaryota; Metazoa; Chordata; Mammalia; Rodentia; Muridae
Product: small nucleolar RNA SNORA17
Exons: 1
Source: RefSeq, a predicted model, not a curated record